Long non-coding RNA from Physcomitrium patens, 1433 nucleotides. RefSeq lists it as uncharacterized. The record is from RefSeq and is a predicted model, not a curated record. Lineage: Eukaryota; Viridiplantae; Streptophyta; Bryopsida; Funariales; Funariaceae.
UGUCGCAAUAGCCAGGUCCCCCUCUUUCUCCCUCCCCAAGCACCAAAUCCAGCAAAGUAACGCCGCACCAUUUCCUCCUCCUCCUCCUCGUUGCCACAGUUUCACUUCAAACCAACCUCACACAAUCCCCCGCCCCACGAUCUAGUUGCUCGACCCCACGAUUCAUGCUUAAUCACCUCCCGGACUUCAGUUUACAGCUGGGUUCGUCAGUCUGAUCCUUUACCUUGUGUGCCGGAUCUUGAUUGUAUUUCCUCUCUCGAAUUGUUGGAAUAGCGUAUUUGGCUUUUGGAGCUAUCGGGACGACAGUGAACUUUGUCGGUUCUUUCGGAGGGGUCUGUGGGUGUUGGGUCUUUGUCAGCACUGAAGCGCUUCGACCGUUCGUUUCGUGUGACUGGAAAGUGGAGUGGCGCUUUCUUCGAGGAGUUUCAGGGUUUAUUGUGGUUAAUUUUGAAGCUGUUCGGUGUAAGUGAUUUUUCGAGGAUUUUCUAGGGUGUUUUGUAUAGACUUCCUGUCAAUCCUGUGGUUUCCAGUAGAUUCUCUACGUGUCUACUUGGGAGAGUACUCGUACGAGGUGAUUGUGCUGUCAACGCAGCUCCAACGAAUGAGGAAGUGGCUGCUAUAGCUGCGGUGGCUGUUGAUACUGCUGUUGCUGCUGCUGCUGCUGCAUUUGGAAUAACCGCACGACUAGCGUUGCUUUCGCUCGCAACGGGAAACUCAAAUAGAGGCGUCCUCAAACUAAAGGUAAUGGAUGCGACUGCAAAAGCAAGGAGACUACUCCCAAAUUUCUGGAUUGAAGGGACUUUGCAGGCUACUGGGGCAGCAGCAAUGGGGCCAUCGAUGCAAGGGCCGAGAAGACCAGUGAACGAUCGGUGUACUGUACCAGACUCAGUGACCACUAUCGCUCCUACUCCAGUGCAAGCGGCUGCCACAAAGGAGAUCUCAAGAAGGGACAUUCUAAAGGACAGACUUGUAGCUUCAGCUGCAUAAGCACAGCUACUAUAAUUUCUGCAACCUCGACGUAGAGUGACUGACAUCCUUCACGUAUUGUGAUAAUUAGUGGAUUAGUAACAAUCUGUAUUGGAGGGAACCUAGGUUGAAUCAGAACCAGUUGGUGUUUUUCGAGGAUUACAAGCAAGUUUGUUGCCGAGGAAAUUGGGUGACGAUGUACUCUAAGUUGGCACAACGUAGAGUUGCACGUCGAUGCUUUGUAUUCAACAAGUGUACAGUGUAAAUACAAACGAACAUUUUGAGUAUCAGUAGCAAACCAUAGAUAUGAUAAAUCUGUACAAUGAAGGCGGAUAUUGAAUAUAAGUUAAGCGUCUAUCAUCAGGGUAGUUGAAGAGAAGUGAAUUGUGAGUUGUAAAGCGACCUCAACAUGUGCAUGUACUAAUUCGUCCAAGCUAACGCAUCAAUAAAUAAGCUCAUUCGAACAA